CUUCGGGGUUUGGUGUAAUUCCAUACCGGCGGUAAAGUCCGCGAGCAGUUUGCAUGAAUAGGUGUAAUUCCUAUACCGACAGUAAAGUCUGGAUGAGAGAAGGA
Molecule: non-coding RNA, 104 nt
Filed under: uncultured Anaeroplasma sp.
Lineage: Bacteria; Bacillati; Mycoplasmatota; Mollicutes; Anaeroplasmatales; Anaeroplasmataceae
Description: FMN riboswitch (RFN element)
Rfam family: FMN riboswitch aptamer (RFN element)
About the family: The RFN element is a highly conserved domain that is found frequently in the 5'-untranslated regions of prokaryotic mRNAs that encode for flavin mononucleotide (FMN) biosynthesis and transport proteins.
Source: RNAcentral